Molecule: long non-coding RNA, 1093 nt
Organism: Syngnathus typhle (broad-nosed pipefish)
Lineage: Eukaryota; Metazoa; Chordata; Actinopteri; Syngnathiformes; Syngnathidae
Exons: 2
Source: RefSeq, a predicted model, not a curated record
UGUCAUCAUUUUGUUAGCGCCGAGAAGUAAAUUGUAGCUUACUGUCGAUCCCAGUGAGUGCUUUCAUUGUGUAUUUGUUUUUCGAAUCUGUGUGGUGGAUUGAAAAAAUAUGAGAGGCAGAAAACCACAUCCAUAUGAGGACUGGGAUUUCACAAAUCCUCAUCAUUUAUUCAAGCUGCAAUCUAUUAAACCUGGAUCAGCGGAGACCCACUCAGCGUGGCUCAGCACAGUGCGGACCACCCUGUGAUGUCAUCUGUUUAUAUCUCCGUGGGAAGAAAAGGACAAGCGCUUUAGGGUUUUCUGCUGCUGCAUAUGUGCUCAGUCUCUUCUAUCACUUGCAAAGAAACUAUUAUAUCUACUGUGUAGUGUAUAAAGCCAAAUACUUGCAUGGCAUCUAUUUCACAAAAGUGGGUAAACGCCUACCGAUUUAUAACAUUUGAACCGAUUUUGGAGAUGUCAAGGCCCUGUGACGAGGACAGAAAUGUGUGUUAUACUGUGUGAUGAUAUUUGGUGACUGAGAGGGCAGCCAUUGAACGACGCCCGGGCAGAGCUCCAGGAGGUCUGCUCGACUCUUUUGAAAGCCACCCCUGGAGCUGCCGAGGCCACCCCUGGUACCGAAGGCAGCCCGGGCACCACGCCCGGGCAGAGUUCCAGGCGUUUGGAUUGACUUGCAUGAGCUCCCUCUGAUGAUGACAAUCAUUAUUAUUUUAUUUUUUUUAUCAUUAUCAUCAUCUAUUUUGCAUUAUCCUUCCAUAAUGAAGUUAAAUGCUCAAAUUUGGCUAUAUUGUCCGCAUGUUUAUACUUUUAUGUUUUAUUUGGUUUGUGAAGAAAAUACGUGAAUUGUAUGGGCAAUAUUUGUAACACACAUCCGAAUGAAUUAAUCAUAUUGGGCUACAUUGUCUUAAUUACCAAGUUUUUUUUAAGAAGGCUUUUUGUUGUUGUUGUAGCAUGACUUUGCCCUACAAAGCAAGAUCUAUAAUCUGACUUUCAUGUGGGAGAAGAAAUGUGACCGCAUAAGUCUGACCCUUGUAUUUACUAUUUGUGACCUUUGACAGUCACUGUUUAGAAUUAAAUCAUAGUACUUUCUAAGAAA